UCUUGGUCCUUGACUGGUUUCGUUCCGAUAGUCGUGUUGAUCCUUGCGACCUCGUUACGGAUUCCAUGGAUCCGUCACCGCAGAACUCUUCCUCCGCCGCCGGUAAUGGCGGUCUCUCCACCUCCGCCUCGGCCACACCCAGCCCGGCCCCCAACCCGACUUCAGCCGUCGCCUCCGCCCCAGUGGACGAGGCGAAGCAGAACCUCAAUCAGGUUAUCAACUCCAUCGACAAGACCCUCGGUCUCCUCCACCAGCUCUACGUAACGGUAUCCUCCUUCAGCGUUGCCUCGCAACUUCCUCUCCUCCAAAGACUGAACGCCUUGGUAUCGGAGCUCGAUGCGAUGCAGAAGAUGGCGGACAAGUGUGACGUGCAGAUCCCUUUGGAGGUCGUCAAUUUGAUAGAUGAUGGGAAGAAUCCAGAUGAGUUCACUAAGGAUGUGAUAAAUAGUUGUGUUGCCAAAAACCAGAUGACCAAAGGAAAGACUGAUGCUUUUAAGAGUCUUCGAAAGCAUCUUCUUGAGGAACUUGAUCAUGCUUUCCCAGAUGAAGUAGACAUGUACAGGGAGAUCCGCUCUUCUGCUGCCCGAGUUAUAACUAGCCAGACACUGAAUCAUAUAACCAUACUGUGUCUGAAAUAAAUAAGAAGGAUGUAAAGCUUCAGAAAAUACUGCUCGUCAGCCAUGGAGUGCAUUAACUUGCAGUGAUGAGGAAUCGAGGAGGCCGGCACAGUCCCUGCAAACUUUACAGAAUGGAGAUGUGAAACUAAAAUCAGAGUACUGAGGAAGUUAGAUAGUGCUUCGUUUCUGUGCAAAUAGAUUGCAACCUUGUACAAGGUUGUUUACCAGUACGCCAUAUGUAAUUACGAAACUAUCAUGCUUCCUACUAUUAUUUAGUUCUUGAGCUUCCUUGCUCAUCAAAUUUUAAGUCCAACGGAAGUUCUUAAUCUACUCUUUGAUUGGUCCUCUUGGUUCA
RNA transcript from Zingiber officinale, 972 nucleotides. It is a transcript of the gene named mediator of RNA polymerase II transcription subunit 10b-like, with no coding region annotated. The record is from RefSeq and is a predicted model, not a curated record. The transcript is spliced from 6 exons. Lineage: Eukaryota; Viridiplantae; Streptophyta; Magnoliopsida; Zingiberales; Zingiberaceae.